Molecule: long non-coding RNA, 872 nt
Filed under: Brassica rapa (field mustard)
Lineage: Eukaryota; Viridiplantae; Streptophyta; Magnoliopsida; Brassicales; Brassicaceae
Description: long non-coding RNA (BRAP_LNC003814)
Source: RNAcentral
GCAGAUCAAAAGCAAUUAACUAUAAACUGAAGGAUCUUAUCAAACAUAUUAUUAUUGUUAUUCAAAUUAAACACGCGAAAUUCGAAAAGCUUGUACACACAUAUUAUCCAAAGACACAGAUAAAAUUAACUUCCAUGACGUGAAUUAUUUUUCUUACUCACACAUUCAUAGUCAGAUACAUGCAGACAUGCAUGUAAAAUACUCAAAAUAUUUGAGCACACAGAUCCAAAUCAAGGGCAUCUCUCGUUCUGGCCAGGGCCACCGUAGAAGAAAUUAACCCCCCAGGAACUUCCAGCAUCUCCUGCUUUAAUGUUGUAACAGUUAUCAUGACCAGUCGUGGGGUAAACUCCUUGUGGUUCUAUCAGAGUAUUGGUUUCAUCGAUUGUCAUAAGAUUCCUGAAAUAGCUCGCUUUCUUAAAACCUUCAUCUGCAAAAUGCCCGCUUCCCAUGUCCGUGGUCGUGUGUUUCCCACCAGUCUCCAAGUUAACGAUUUCACCUCCCCAUUGAACUAUGGUAGCUCCAUCUCCUAGAGAAUUGAAUAACUUGCCAGGCCAGUACCCCACAAGCUCUUCACCGACCUUUAGCCACCAGUUUUCGCCAUCCUAUAUAUAAUUAUCGACAAUCCACUUUGGGUUGAGAUGCAGAUAUAACAUAACGUAGGGACAACUCAAUUACACCUCAUAUUGUUACUAAAAAGAGAAAAAGACAUUAUACAUGUUAGCUCUUAGUACAUAUAAGCAUGGAGAGGUCGUAUUGAUCUCCGUCGUAUUCUGAGACGGUGGUGUAGGUUCCACCUACAGUGAUAAGAUUGCUCCUUUGAACGAAACCUGAGCAUAAGUUGUUGUAGCACCCUGUCCUUUGGUAUCCAUCGG